Lycium barbarum (goji berry) is the source of this 830-nucleotide long non-coding RNA. RefSeq lists it as uncharacterized. NCBI's taxonomy places the organism in Eukaryota, Viridiplantae, Streptophyta, Magnoliopsida, Solanales, Solanaceae. The record is from RefSeq and is a predicted model, not a curated record. The transcript is spliced from 3 exons.
CGGCAUAUGCACAUUAGCCAGCAAAUAAUAUAUUUUUAUCGGCAAUUUAAUAAAACGGCCAGCAAAAGAGCCUAUUUUUAUUUUUUUAUAUGCCCUCCAAAAGCAAGCCCUAUAAUUUUUCAUUUCCCUCUCUUCUCUAACUCAUCCCCCUAUGGCUUUUUGGUAUUCAUCUUCUUUUGUUGUUCUUGCCUUGUCUGUCAUCUUUCAUUUAGCCAACAAAUGCCCUCUCAUCGUUCCAUAUUUUGAAGAUCACGGUGUUAGAUUUACUCCGGUCAAAAAGCCACUAUCCUUCGGGUGCGCACAGGGUAAACCCAGCCCCUGUGCAAUAGCUCGCAAACCACACAGGAUAGGUAACCCGCACUAGGAAAGCCCGGUGCGACGAGCUCGACCCAGAAGGCAUAUCCCCUGCUAUCGUAGGCAGGGGGAUUCGAACUUGAGACCUCCAUUAUGAAAGCCACAUGCUCAAACAAUUGAGCCGUCCUUGCAGGUGCACAGGGAGACAGACUUGACCCAUAGCUGUCUAUUUGAAGAUUUCAUAGAGAGCUCCAUUUCCUUCGGAGCCAUAUCUUUUGGGUACUCAUUCUUUUGUGUAUAUAAUUAUGGGCAUAGCGGGGUCCUGUCUCGCUCAUGAUAUGUCAUACUCUUAGAGGCUCGUAGUCAUGUGUAUGUGGGUAGAGAUGUUUGGCCAUGUCGGCCUAUGUUUUGUAUAUCUUUUGUUGGCCUCGUCAGCCUUGUAUAUUUGACAUGGCAUAGAUGCCCAUGAUAUGUUAAUUGAUGAUGGUCGUCCAAUGGGACUAGCUGGAUUAAUGAUUUAAAAUGCAUGAAAUGAA